UACGGAGGGGACUAGCGUUGUUCGGAAUUACUGGGCGUAAAGCGCACGUAGGCGGAUUUGUAAGUCAGGGGUGAAAGCCCGGGGCUCAACCCCGGAAUUGCCUUUAAGACUGCAUCGCUUGAAUCCGGGAGAGGUGAGUGGAAUUCCGAGUGUAGAGGUGAAAUUCGUAGAUAUUCGGAAGAACACCAGUGGCGAAGGCGGCUCACUGGACCGGUAUUGACGCUGAGGUGCGAAAGCGUGGGGAGCAAACAGG
Molecule: ribosomal RNA, 253 nt
Filed under: uncultured bacterium
Lineage: Bacteria
Description: partial 16S ribosomal RNA
Rfam family: Bacterial small subunit ribosomal RNA
Source: RNAcentral